This 301-nucleotide ribosomal RNA is filed under the name uncultured bacterium. RNAcentral describes it as "partial 16S ribosomal RNA". It matches the Rfam family "Bacterial small subunit ribosomal RNA", at positions 509 to 807 of the family's 1533-position model. The record is from RNAcentral.
CAGCAGCCGCGGUAAAACAUAGGUGGCAAGCGUUGUCCGGAAUUAUUGGGCGUAAAGCGAGCGCAGGCGGUCAAUUAAGUCUGAUGUGAAAGCCCCCGGCUCAACCGGGGAGGGUCAUUGGAAACUGGUUGACUUGAGUGCAGAAGAGGAGAGUGGAAUUCCAUGUGUAGCGGUGAAAUGCGUAGAUAUAUGGAGGAACACCAGUGGCGAAGGCGACUCUCUGGUCUGUAACUGACGCUGAGGCUCGAAAGCGUGGGUAGCAAACAGGAUUAGAGACCCCCGUAGUCCCUGUCUCUUAUAC